Solea solea (common sole) is the source of this 86-nucleotide non-coding RNA. The record is from the annotation of a RefSeq genome assembly. NCBI's taxonomy places the organism in Eukaryota, Metazoa, Chordata, Actinopteri, Pleuronectiformes, Soleidae.
GGCUCGUUGGUCUAGGUCUAGGGGUCUAGGGGUAUGAUUCUCGCUUUGGGUGCGAGAGGUCCCGGGUUCAAAUCCCGGACGAGCCC